CGGGGUGUGGCGCAGCUUGGUAGCGCGCGUCGUUCGGGACGACGAGGUCGCAGGUUCAAUUCCUGUCACCCCGA
RNAcentral lists this transfer RNA (74 nucleotides) under Arthrobacter sp. Bz4. It matches the Rfam family "tRNA". Rfam says of the family: Transfer RNA (tRNA) molecules are approximately 80 nucleotides in length. Their secondary structure includes four short double-helical elements and three loops (D, anti-codon, and T loops). Lineage: Bacteria; Bacillati; Actinomycetota; Actinomycetes; Micrococcales; Micrococcaceae. RNAcentral also lists the same sequence under 1 other name. The record is from Rfam by way of RNAcentral.